Molecule: ribosomal RNA, 468 nt
Filed under: uncultured Streptococcus sp.
Lineage: Bacteria; Bacillati; Bacillota; Bacilli; Lactobacillales; Streptococcaceae
Description: bacterial SSU rRNA
Rfam family: Bacterial small subunit ribosomal RNA
Source: RNAcentral
AGACGGGGCCCGCACAAGCGUGGAGCAUGUGGUUUAAUUCGAAGCAACGCGAAGAACCUUUACCAGGUCUUGACAUCCCGAUGCUAUUUCUAGAGAUAGAAAGUUACUUCGGUACAUCGGUGACAGGUGGUGCAUGGUUGUCGUCAGCUCGUGUCGUGAGAUGUUGGGUUAAGUCCCGCAACGAGCGCAACCCCUAUUGUUAGUUGCCAUCAUUCAGUUGGGCACUCUAGCGAGACUGCCGGUAAUAAACCGGAGGAAGGUGGGAUGACGUCAAAUCAUCAUGCCCCUUAUGACCUGGGCUACACACGUGCUACAAUGGUUGGUACAACGAGUUGCGAGUCGGUGACGGCGAGCUAAUCUCUUAAAGCCAAUCUCAGUUCGGAUUGUAGGCUGCAACUCGCCUACAUGAAGUCGGAAUCGCUAGUAAUCGCGGAUCAGCACGCCGCGGUGAAUACGCUCCCGGGCCUU